This 478-nucleotide ribosomal RNA is filed under the name uncultured organism. RNAcentral's name for it is "partial 16S ribosomal RNA". It matches the Rfam family "Bacterial small subunit ribosomal RNA", at positions 330 to 799 of the family's 1533-position model. The record is from RNAcentral.
CGUACACUCCUACGGGAGGCAGCAGUGGGGAAUUUUGGACAAUGGGCGAAAGCCUGAUCCAGCCAUGCCGCGUGCAGGAUGAAGGCCUUCGGGUUGUAAACUGCUUUUGUACGGAACGAAACGGCCUUUUCUAAUAAAGAGGGCUAAUGACGGUACCGUAAGAAUAAGCACCGGCUAACUACGUGCCAGCAGCCGCGGUAAUACGUAGGGUGCAAGCGUUAAUCGGAAUUACUGGGCGUAAAGCGUGCGCAGGCGGUUAUGUAAGACAGUUGUGAAAUCCCCGGGCUCAACCUGGGAACUGCAUCUGUGACUGCAUAGCUAGAGUACGGUAGAGGGGGAUGGAAUUCCGCGUGUAGCAGUGAAAUGCGUAGAUAUGCGGAGGAACACCGAUGGCGAAGGCAAUCCCCUGGACCUGUACUGACGCUCAUGCACGAAAGCGUGGGGAGCAAACAGGAUUAGAUACCCUAGUAGUCCCAUG